This 253-nucleotide ribosomal RNA is filed under the name uncultured bacterium. RNAcentral's name for it is "partial 16S ribosomal RNA". It matches the Rfam family "Bacterial small subunit ribosomal RNA", at positions 524 to 776 of the family's 1533-position model. The record is from RNAcentral.
UACGAAGGGGGCUAGCGUUGUUCGGAAUUACUGGGCGUAAAGCGCACGUAGGCGGAUUGUUAAGUCAGAGGUGAAAUCCCGGAGCUCAACUUCGGAACUGCCUUUGAUACUGGCAAUCUAGAGUCCGGAAGAGGUUAGUGGAAUUCCCAGUGUAGAGGUGAAAUUCGUAGAUAUUGGGAAGAACACCAGUGGCGAAGGCGGCUAACUGGUCCGGUACUGACGCUGAGGUGCGAAGGCGUGGGGAGCGAACGGG